Molecule: ribosomal RNA, 253 nt
Filed under: uncultured bacterium
Lineage: Bacteria
Description: partial 16S ribosomal RNA
Rfam family: Bacterial small subunit ribosomal RNA
Source: RNAcentral
GACGAACCGUGCGAACGUUGUUCGGAAUCACUGGGCUUAAAGGGCGCGUAGGCGGCUUGCCAAGUCAGGGGUGAAAUCUUUCGGCUCAACCGGAAAAGUGCCUUUGAUACGGGCGGGCUAGAGUUCGGUAGGGGAGACUGGAAUUCCUGGUGUAGCGGUGAAAUGCGCAGAUAUCAGGAGGAACACCGGUGGCGAAGGCGGGUCUCUGGGCCGAUACUGACGCUGAGGAGCGAAAGCGUGGGGAGCGAACAGG